RNAcentral lists this ribosomal RNA (824 nucleotides) under Phymanthus crucifer. Its description in RNAcentral is "partial 12S small subunit ribosomal RNA". It matches the Rfam family "Bacterial small subunit ribosomal RNA", at positions 330 to 1484 of the family's 1533-position model. The record is from RNAcentral. Lineage: Eukaryota; Metazoa; Cnidaria; Anthozoa; Actiniaria; Phymanthidae.
GGAAGACUCACAUAGAGGCAGCAGUAGAGAAUCUUGUGCAAUAAACGAAAGUAUGACACAGAGAGGAUACAUUUAAUUGAGCCCGUCAAAUUAAGUGCCAGCCGACGCGGUUAAACUUAAGGGCUGGUCUUUAUAAGUAAAAAGGCGUAAAGGAUGUGUAGGCUAAAAAACGAUCCAAGUAGGUAAAUGGAAUUUUUUUGGAGCGGUAGAAUGUGAGGAUAGAAAAUAGAACCCCAAAGGUAAAAACUAUUUACUACAAGGUAGGCUGAUACAUGGGAGUGUGGGGAGCAAACAGGAUUAGAGACCCUGGUAGUCCACACUGUGAACUUUGAAGAUGAUGCUUAGCAGGCCCGAAAGGUAAAAUCUUCCGCCUGAGUAGUACGAUCGCAAGAUUAAAAUUCAAAAACUUUGGCUGUUCACUAUUUCGAUUAGAGGAGCGUGUAGUUUAAUUCGAUGGUCCGCGUGUUACCUUACCUCAACUUGAAUCUAUGACCGGUAUUGCAUGGCCGUCGUAAGUUCGUGUAUUAAGCUAGAAGGGACCCAACCCGGGCAUUUGCCCGGAGGAAGUCAGGUCUUAUGAUCCGAAUGUUGGGGGAUUUUAUGCGCUACAUUUUCUUAUAUAAUGAGAAACCUGGAAGGUGAGUCUCUAAAGUAAGAGUUCGGAAGGUCGCUGUAAGACGACUGGAAGUUGAAUUUAAUAGUAAUCGGAAAGUAGGGCGUUCCGGUGAAUUGGUACAAGUGUUAGCACAAAUUGCCCGUCACCUUUACUUAGAAUGGUUAUUCGGACGUCUUCGGUGAUUACGAAUGCCUACGAGGUAAAGCAA